Molecule: transfer RNA, 70 nt
Filed under: Partenskyella glossopodia
Lineage: Eukaryota; Cercozoa; Chlorarachniophyceae
Rfam family: tRNA
About the family: Transfer RNA (tRNA) molecules are approximately 80 nucleotides in length.
Source: RNAcentral
GGGAAAUAGCUCAGUGGUAGAGCGAGUGUCUUGCACACACUAAGUCUCGGGUUCGACUCCUGAUUUUUCC